RNAcentral lists this ribosomal RNA (930 nucleotides) under uncultured Planctomycetota bacterium. RNAcentral's name for it is "bacterial SSU rRNA". It matches the Rfam family "Bacterial small subunit ribosomal RNA", at positions 28 to 895 of the family's 1533-position model. Lineage: Bacteria; Pseudomonadati; Planctomycetota. The record is from RNAcentral.
AACGAACGCUGGCGGCGUGGCUAACCCAUGCAAGUCGCGCGCGAACGAACCCUUCGGGGUCUUAUUAGCGCGGCGGAACGGUGAGUAAUGUAUGGGCAACGUACCCUGGGCACGAGGAUAGACCAUCGAAGGGUGGCGUAAUACUCGAGAGACCACACGGGGGCAUCCCCGAGCGGUCAAAGGGCGGGGACCCCUUCGGGGGCCUGCCGGCCCGGGAGCGACCCAUAUCCCAUCAGCUUGUUGGUAGGGUAACGGCCUACCAAGGCAACGACGGGUAGCCGGACUGAGAGGUCGACCGGCCACAUUGGGACUGAGACACUGCCCAGACUCCUACGGGAGGCUGCAGGGACGAAUAUUCCGCAAUGGGCGAAAGCCUGACGGAGCGACGCCGCGUGUGGGAAGAAGCCUUUCGGGGUGUAAACCACUGUCAGGGCCACCAAGCAAAUCCGCCUAAUACGCGGAGGCGUUGAGGAACCCCAAAGGAAGCCACGGCUAACUCCGUGCCAGCAGCCGCGGUAAGACGGAGGUGGCAAGCGUUGUUCGGAAUCACUGGGCUUAAAGAGCACGUAGGCGGCCUGCCAAGCGUCUUGUGAAAUCCCUCGGCUCAACCGAGGAAUUGCUCGGCGAACUGGCGGACUUGAGGCAAGUAGAGGCGCGUGGAACUCUUGGUGGAGCGGUGAAAUGCGUAGAUAUCAAGAGGAACGCCGGCGGCGAAAGCGACGCGCUAGGCUUGUUUGAGGUUCCAGAUGCGAUUCGUCGCAAAUGGGGUCUCUUCUGACGCUGAGGUGCGAAAGCUAGGGUAGCGAACGGGAUUAGAUACCCCGGUAGUCCUAGCCGUAAACGAUGUCCACUAGGCUGGGGGUUCUUUGACGGAGUCCCGGCCGAAGCUAAAGUAUUAAGUGGACCGCCUGGGGAGACGGUCGCAAGGCU